RNAcentral lists this ribosomal RNA (926 nucleotides) under uncultured archaeon. RNAcentral describes it as "bacterial SSU rRNA". It matches the Rfam family "Archaeal small subunit ribosomal RNA", at positions 21 to 924 of the family's 1478-position model. The record is from RNAcentral.
ACCCCACUGCUAUCGGGAUAGGACUAAGACAUGCUAGUCGAGCGCUUUCGAGCCAUGUUGAGAGCGCGGCAUACAGCUCAGUAACACGUGGCUAACCUGCCCUUGGGACGGGAUCACCCCCGGGAAACUGGGGCUAAUCCCCGAUAGGUGAAGAACUCUGGAAUGAGUCUUUGCUCAAAGGGCGCCAGAUCAUGCUUCUGGUGUCGCCCAAGGAUGGGGCCGCGACCGAUCAGGUUGUUGGUGAGGUAAUGGCCCACCAAGCCUAUAACCGGUGCGGGCCGUGAGAGCGGGAGCCCGGAGAUGGGCACUGAGACAAGGGCCCAGGUCCUACGGGGCGCAGCAGUCGCGAAAACUUUGCAAUACACGAAAGUGUGACAGGGUUAUCCCGAGUGCCGACCGCUGAGGUUGGCUUUUACCCAGUCUAGAAAGCUGGGGGAAUAAGGAGAGGGCAAGUCUGGUGUCAGCCGCCGCGGUAAUACCAGCUCUCCGAGUGGUGUGGACGUUUAUUGGGCCUAAAGCAUCCGUAGCUGGCUGAACAAGUCCCCUGUUAAACCCACCGAUUUAAUCGUUGGCGUGCGGGGGAUACUGCUCGGCUAGGGGACGAGAGAGGCAGACGGUAUUCCCGGGGUAGGGGUGAAAUCCUAUAAUCCCGAGAAGACCACCAGUGGCGAAGGCUGUCUGCUAGAACGCGCCCGACGGUGAGGGAUGAAAGCUGGGGGAGCGAACCGGAUUAGAUACCCGGGUAGUCCCAGCUGUAAACGAUGCAGACUAGGUGUUUGGACGGCCACGUGCCGUUCUAGUGCCGCAGGGAAGCUGUUAAGUCUGCCGCCUGGGGAGUACGAUCGCAAGAUUGAAACUUAAAGGAAUUGGCGGGGGAGCACCACAAGGGGUGAAGCUUGCGGUUUAAUUGGAUUCAACGCCGGAAA